GGCAGAGUAGCUUAACGGUAAAGUAGUGGUUUCAUAAUCCAUUGAUAAGAGUUCAAUUCUCUUCUCUGCU
This 70-nucleotide transfer RNA is filed under the name Ourococcus multisporus. RNAcentral describes it as "tRNA-Met". It matches the Rfam family "tRNA". Rfam says of the family: Transfer RNA (tRNA) molecules are approximately 80 nucleotides in length. The record is from RNAcentral. Lineage: Eukaryota; Viridiplantae; Chlorophyta; Chlorophyceae; Sphaeropleales; Selenastraceae.